AGUGAACGCUGGCGGCGUGCUUAACACAUGCAAGUCGAACGAGAACGGAUUAUAGCUUGCUAUAAUUGUCAGCUAAGUGGCGCACGGGUGAGUAAUGUAUAGGUAAUAUGCCUCUUACUAAGGGAUAACAAAUGGAAACGUUUGCUAAUACCUUAUACUCCUUAUUAACAGAAGUUAAUAAGGGAAAGAUUUAUUGGUAAGAGAUUAGCCUGUAUUGUAUCAGUUAGUUGGUGGGGUAAUGGCUUACCAAGACUAUGACACAUAACUGGUUUGAGAGGAUGAUCAGUCACACUGGAACUGAGACACGGUCCAGACUCCUACGGGAGGCAGCAGUGGGGAAUAUUGCACAAUGGACGAAAGUCUGAUGCAGCAACGCCGCGUGGAGGAUGACACAUUUCGGUGCGUAAACUCCUUUUAUAUGAGAAGAUAAUGACGGUAUUAUAUGAAUAAGCACCGGCUAACUCCGUGCCAGCAG
Molecule: ribosomal RNA, 475 nt
Filed under: uncultured bacterium
Lineage: Bacteria
Description: bacterial SSU rRNA
Rfam family: Bacterial small subunit ribosomal RNA
Source: RNAcentral